UUCUUCAAACCUAUUUGACCAUGAAGCUUUUCACACACACACACACACACUCUCUCUCUCUCUCUCUCUCUCACACCCGCACACCCCUUCUCCUAGGAAUCAUGUUUGGUAGAAAAGUAGUUUGGAAAAUUCUUCAUUCUGAUAUAUUUUCUCUUUAUAUGAUGAUUUAGUUGCUGAUUAUUUCAGGGUUUUUUUUUCUGUUUUUUUUUUUUUUUUUUUUUUUGUCACAGGUAUUAUUCUCACUAAGGUUGGUUACUAUACUAUUCCAUCUAUGGAUGACCUUGCUAAAAUUACCAAUGAAAAAGGAGAGUGCAUUGUCUCUGACUUCACUAUUGGUCGGAAAGGUUAUGGUUCAAUCUAUUUUGAAGGAGAUGUGAAUUUGACAAAUCUAAAUUUGGAUGAUAUUG
Molecule: small RNA, 407 nt
Filed under: Pongo abelii (Sumatran orangutan)
Lineage: Eukaryota; Metazoa; Chordata; Mammalia; Primates; Hominidae
Description: retained intron
Source: RNAcentral